GUACGUAUGUGUUUUUCAUUCCUUUUUUUACUAUAGACAUAUUAUUUUCAGCUUCAAAGUCAAAUUUCAUUCAACAAGUUCAUCGGUAUCUACGUGAUUCGAACGUUAUUCAAAUGAUCCAUGGACGUAUUAAAAAUUGAGAGAUGAAGGAAAAAAUACUUUGACCGUGUUAAAGGUUCCCGUUCGAAGGCUAGUCAUUGUAAAUGACUAACCGUAAAAUUUAUUUGUACACUGGCAUCUUCAACGAUUCUAACAAUUCAUAAAUAAGAUGCUCUUCAAAAUAGCAGGAACGAUCCUUAGAUA
RNAcentral lists this long non-coding RNA (303 nucleotides) under Neodiprion lecontei (redheaded pine sawfly). RNAcentral's name for it is "uncharacterized LOC124292942". Lineage: Eukaryota; Metazoa; Arthropoda; Insecta; Hymenoptera; Diprionidae. The record is from RNAcentral.